UGGAAUAAGGAGAAAAAACCAGGAGUGUCC
Molecule: non-coding RNA, 30 nt
Filed under: Rattus norvegicus (Norway rat)
Lineage: Eukaryota; Metazoa; Chordata; Mammalia; Rodentia; Muridae
Source: RNAcentral